This 71-nucleotide transfer RNA is filed under the name Marmota monax (woodchuck). RNAcentral describes it as "tRNA.Ala". It matches the Rfam family "tRNA". Rfam says of the family: Transfer RNA (tRNA) molecules are approximately 80 nucleotides in length. Their secondary structure includes four short double-helical elements and three loops (D, anti-codon, and T loops). The record is from RNAcentral. Lineage: Eukaryota; Metazoa; Chordata; Mammalia; Rodentia; Sciuridae.
GGGGUUGUAGCUCAGUGGUAGAGUACUUGCCUUGCAUGCGUGAGGCCCUGAGUUCAAUCCUCAGCACCACA